GGCGAACGCUGGCGGCAGGCUUAACACAUGCAAGUCGAGCGGGCCUUUCGGGGUCAGCGGCGGACGGGUGAGUAACGCGUGGGAACGUGCCCUCUGGUUCGGAAUAACUCAGGGAAACUUGAGCUAAUACCGGAUACGCCCUUUUGGGGAAAGGCUUGCUGCCGGAGGAUCGGCCCGCGUCUGAUUAGCUAGUUGGUGAGGUAACGGCUCACCAAGGCGACGAUCAGUAGCUGGUCUGAGAGGAUGAUCAGCCACACUGGGACUGAGACACGGCCCAGACUCCUACGGGAGGCAGCAGUGGGGAAUAUUGGACAAUGGGCGCAAGCCUGAUCCAGCCAUGCCGCGUGAGUGAUGAAGGCCUUAGGGUUGUAAAGCUCUUUUAUCCGGGACGAUAAUGACGGUACCGGAGGAAUAAGCCCCGGCUAACUUCGUG
This 433-nucleotide ribosomal RNA is filed under the name uncultured bacterium. Its description in RNAcentral is "partial 16S ribosomal RNA". It matches the Rfam family "Bacterial small subunit ribosomal RNA", at positions 28 to 507 of the family's 1533-position model. The record is from RNAcentral.